RNAcentral lists this ribosomal RNA (158 nucleotides) under Agroathelia rolfsii. RNAcentral describes it as "Athelia rolfsii 5.8S ribosomal RNA". It matches the Rfam family "5.8S ribosomal RNA". Rfam says of the family: 5.8S ribosomal RNA (5.8S rRNA) is a component of the large subunit of the eukaryotic ribosome. It is transcribed by RNA polymerase I as part of the 45S precursor that also contains 18S and 28S rRNA. The record is from RNAcentral. Lineage: Eukaryota; Fungi; Basidiomycota; Agaricomycetes; Amylocorticiales; Amylocorticiaceae.
CAACUUUCAACAACGGAUCUCUUGGCUCUUGCAUCGAUGAAGAACGCAGCGAAAUGCGAUAAGUAAUGUGAAUUGCAGAAUCCAGUGAAUCAUCGAAUCUUUGAACGCACCUUGCGCCCUUUGGUAUUCCGAGGGGCAUGCCUGUUUGAGAGUCAUUA